GUGGUUUAAUUCGAAGCAACGCGAAGAACCUUACCAGGUCUUGACAUCCCUGACAACCCGAGAGAUCGGCGUUCCCCUUCGGGGGACAGGGUGACAGGUGGUGCAUGGUUGUCGUCAGCUCGUGUCGUGAGAUGUUGGGUUAAGUCCCGCAACGAGCGCAACCCUUGUCAUUAGUUGCUACGAAAGGGCACUCUAAUGAGACUGCCGGUGACAAACCGGAGGAAGGUGGGGAUGACGUCAAGUCCUCAUGGCCCUUAUAGGUGGGGCUACACACGUCAUACAAUGGCUGGUACAAAGGGUUGCCAACCCGCGAGGGGGAGCCAAUCCCAUAAAGCCAGUCGUAGUCCGGAUCGUAGUCUGCAACUCGACUACGUGAAGUCGGAAUCGCUAGUAAUCGUGGAUCAGAAUGUCACGGUGAAUACGUUCCCGGGUCUU
RNAcentral lists this ribosomal RNA (435 nucleotides) under uncultured Hydrogenophaga sp. RNAcentral describes it as "bacterial SSU rRNA". It matches the Rfam family "Bacterial small subunit ribosomal RNA", at positions 941 to 1382 of the family's 1533-position model. Lineage: Bacteria; Pseudomonadati; Pseudomonadota; Betaproteobacteria; Burkholderiales; Comamonadaceae. The record is from RNAcentral.